AGGUGAACCACUGCUUAACAGAAUGCUGUUAAAACCAGUUUGAGGUGAACCACUGCUUAACAGAAUGCUGUUAAAACCAGUUUGAGGUGAACCACUGCUUAACAGAAUGCUGUUAAAACCAGUUUGAGGUGAACCACUGCUUAACAGAAUGCUGUUAAAACCAGUUUGAGGUGAACCACUGCUUAACAGAACACUGUUAAAACCAGUUUGAGGUGAACCACUGCUUAACAGAAUGCUGUUAAAACCAGUUUGAGGUGAACCACUGCUUAACAGAAUGCUGUUAAACCAGUUUGAGGUGAACCACUGCUUAACAAAACGCUGUUAAACCAGUUUGAGGUGAACCACUGCUUAACAGAACGCUGUUAAACCAGUUUGAGGUGAACCACUGCUUAACAGAAUGCUGUUAAACCAGUUUGAGGUGAACCACUGCUUAACAGAAUGCUGUUAAACCAGUUUGAGGUGAACCACUGCUUAACAGAACACUGUUAAAACCAGUUUGAGGUGAACCACUGCUUAACAGAAUGCUGUUAAACCAGUUUGAGGUGAACCACUGCUUAACAGUAAAUAAAAUGCAGUAGUGCAAAAAUUCAAAGAUACCCCCCCCCCCUUUCCAUAGCCCUCCCUGAUUCAUCCACAAGGUGAAGUGGGGGGGUCUUAUUGCCCCUUCAGAGAGUGUGUGUGAGAGCCAUAGUCCUACACAUUAU
Molecule: long non-coding RNA, 704 nt
Organism: Oncorhynchus keta (chum salmon)
Lineage: Eukaryota; Metazoa; Chordata; Actinopteri; Salmoniformes; Salmonidae
Exons: 4
Source: RefSeq, a predicted model, not a curated record